Molecule: transfer RNA, 73 nt
Filed under: Neotoma lepida (desert woodrat)
Lineage: Eukaryota; Metazoa; Chordata; Mammalia; Rodentia; Cricetidae
Rfam family: tRNA
About the family: Transfer RNA (tRNA) molecules are approximately 80 nucleotides in length. Their secondary structure includes four short double-helical elements and three loops (D, anti-codon, and T loops). Further hydrogen bonds mediate the characteristic L-shaped molecular structure. tRNAs have two regions of fundamental functional importance: the anti-codon, which is responsible for specific mRNA codon recognition, and the 3' end, to which the tRNAs corresponding amino acid is attached (by aminoacyl-tRNA synthetases). tRNAs cope with the degeneracy of the genetic code in two manners: having more than one tRNA (with a specific anti-codon) for a particular amino acid; and 'wobble' base-pairing, i.e. permitting non-standard base-pairing at the 3rd anti-codon position.
Source: Rfam by way of RNAcentral
UGGGGUGUAGCUCAGUUGGUGGAGUGCUUGUCUAGCAUGCUAGAGACCCUGGGUUCGAUCCCCAGCACAGCAU